Molecule: non-coding RNA, 32 nt
Filed under: Homo sapiens (human)
Lineage: Eukaryota; Metazoa; Chordata; Mammalia; Primates; Hominidae
Source: RNAcentral
AAAUGUUAUGAUGAUGGGCGAAAUGUUCAACU